Molecule: ribosomal RNA, 495 nt
Filed under: uncultured Clostridium sp.
Lineage: Bacteria; Bacillati; Bacillota; Clostridia; Eubacteriales; Clostridiaceae
Description: bacterial SSU rRNA
Rfam family: Bacterial small subunit ribosomal RNA
Source: RNAcentral
GCCAGCCCGCUCAGAACUUCAAGGAAUUGACGGGGCCCGCACAAGCAGCGGAGCAUGUGGUUUAAUUCGAAGCAACGCGAAGAACCUUACCUAGACUUGACAUCUCCUGAAUUACCCGUAACUGGGGAAGCUCUUCGGAGCAGGAAGACAGGUGGUGCAUGGUUGUCGUCAGCUCGUGUCGUGAGAUGUUGGGUUAAGUCCCGCAACGAGCGCAACCCUUUAUCGUUAGUUGCUACCAUUAAGUUGAGCACUCUAGCGAGACUGCCCGGGUUAACCGGGAGGAAGGUGGGGAUGACGUCAAAUCAUCAUGCCCCUUAUGUCUAGGGCUACACACGUGCUACAAUGGUGAGGACAAAGAGACGCAAGACCGCGAGGUGGAGCAAAUCUCACAAACCUCAUCCCAGUUCGGAUUGCAGGCUGAAACUCGCCUGCAUGAAGCCGGAGUUGCUAGUAAUCGCGAAUCAGCAUGUCGCGGUGAAUACGUUCCCGGGCCUU